UGGCUAAUGAUGAUAAAUCUUUAUCUUAGCGGAUUUCAGUGAGAUAUCACUAUCAAUGAUCUGAUUGUUACACACACUGAAGCUC
Molecule: small nucleolar RNA, 85 nt
Organism: Telopea speciosissima
Lineage: Eukaryota; Viridiplantae; Streptophyta; Magnoliopsida; Proteales; Proteaceae
Product: small nucleolar RNA R11/Z151
Exons: 1
Source: RefSeq, a predicted model, not a curated record